GAGCGAUCUUCUUCGGAAGGGAGCGGCGGACGGGUGAGUAACGCGUGGGUAACCUGCCCUGUACACACGGAUAACAUACCGAAAGGUAUGCUAAUACGGGAUAACAUAAGAAAGUCGCAUGGAUUUCUUAUCAAAGCUUUUGCGGUACAGGAUGGACCCGCGUCUGAUUAGCUAGUUGGUAAGGUAACGGCUUACCAAGGCGACGAUCAGUAGCCGACCUGAGAGGGUGAUCGGCCACAUUGGAACUGAGACACGGUCCAAACUCCUACGGGAGGCAGCAGUGGGGAAUAUUGCACAAUGGGCGAAAGCCUGAUGCAGCAGCGCCGCGUGAGCGAUGAAGGCCUUCGGGUCGUAAAGCUCUGUCCUCAAGGAAGAUAAUGACGGUACUUGAGGAGGAAGCCCCGGCUAACUACGUGCCAGCAGCCGCGGUAAUACGUAGGGGGCUAGCGUUAUCCGGAAUUACUGGGCGUAAAGGGUGCGUAGGCGGUCUUUCAAGUCAGAAGUGAAAGGCUACGGCUCAACCGUAGUAAGCUUUUGAAACUGUAAGACUUGAGUGCAGGAGAGGAGAGUGGAAUUCCUAGUGUAGCGGUGAAAUGCGUAGAUAUUAGGAGGAACACCAGUUGCGAAGGCGGCUCUC
This 637-nucleotide ribosomal RNA is filed under the name uncultured Clostridium sp. RNAcentral's name for it is "bacterial SSU rRNA". It matches the Rfam family "Bacterial small subunit ribosomal RNA", at positions 64 to 729 of the family's 1533-position model. Lineage: Bacteria; Bacillati; Bacillota; Clostridia; Eubacteriales; Clostridiaceae. The record is from RNAcentral.